UGAGUACGAGCUGCUACGGCAGCGAAGUGGGUGAUGUCAAGCUUCCAAGAAAAGCCCUAUACCCGUUAAGGCAUGAUGGCCUGUACCCGAAACCGACACAGGUGGGGUGGUAGAGAAUACCGAGGGGCGCGAGAUAACUCUCUCUAAGGAACUCGGCAAAAUGGCCCCGUAACUUCGGGAGAAGGGGUGCCACCGCAAGGUGGUCGCAGUGAAGAGGCCUAGGCGACUGUUUACCAAAAACACAGGUCUCCGCUAAGUCGCAAGACGAUGUAUGGGGGCUGACGCCUGCCCAGUGCCGGAAGGUUAAGGAAGCUGGUCAGCGUAAGCGAAGCUAGCGACUGAAGCCCCGGUGAACGGCGGCCGUAACUAUAACGGUCCUAAGGUAGCGAAAUUCCUUGUCGGGUAAGUUCCGACCCGCACGAAAGGCGUAACGAUCUGGGCGCUGUCUCGGAGAGAGGCUCGGCGAAAUAGAAUUGUCUGUGAAGAUGCGGACUACGUGCACCCGGACAGAAAGACCCUAUGAAGCUUUACUGUAGCUUGGUAUUGUGCCCGGGCUCUGAAUGCGCAGGAUAGGUGGGAGGCUUUGAUCCAUUGCUUGUGGGUGAUGGUGAGCCAACGGUGAGAUACCACUCUUUCAGAGCUAGGGUUCUAACGGUCACCCGUCAUCCGGGGACCGGACAGUAUCAGGUGGGCAGUUUGACUGGGGCGGUCGCCUCCUAAAAGGUAACGGAGGCGCGCAAAGGUUUGCUCAGGCUGGUUGGAAAUCAGCCGACGAGUGUAAAAGCAGAAGCAAGCUUGACUGUGAGACCUACAAGUCGAACAGGGACGAAAGUCGGCUUUAGUGAUCCGACGGUUCUGAGUGGAAGGGCCGUCGCUCAACGGAUAAAAGUUACUCUAAGGAUAACAGGCUGAUCUCCCCCAAGAGUUCACAUCGACGGGGAGGUUUGGCACCUCGAUGUCGGCUCAUCGCAACCUGGGGCUGAAGUCGGUCCCAAGGGUUGGGCUGUUCGCCCAUUAAAGCGGUACGCGAGCUGGGUUCAGAACGUCGUGAGACAGUUCGGUCCAUAUCCGGUGCAUGCGCAGGAAUAUUGAGAGGAUUUCUCCCUAGUACGAGAGGACCGGGAGGAACGCACCUCUGGUGUGCCAGUUAUCGUGCCAACGGUAAACGCUGGGUAGCCAUGUGCGGAGAGGAUAACCGCUGAAAGCAUCUAAGUGGGAAGCCCACCUCAAGAUGAGUAUUCCCAUGGCGUUAGCCAUAAGGUCACGGGCAGAACACCCGUUGAUAGGCUCUACGUGGAAGCCGGGUAACCGGUGAAGCGGAGGAGUACUAAUAGACCGAGGGCUUGACC
RNAcentral lists this ribosomal RNA (1349 nucleotides) under metagenome. Its description in RNAcentral is "bacterial LSU rRNA". It matches the Rfam family "Bacterial large subunit ribosomal RNA", at positions 1564 to 2925 of the family's 2925-position model. The record is from RNAcentral.